This 340-nucleotide ribosomal RNA is filed under the name Thalassiosira rotula. RNAcentral describes it as "partial Bacterial large subunit ribosomal RNA". It matches the Rfam family "Bacterial large subunit ribosomal RNA", at positions 1956 to 2295 of the family's 2925-position model. Lineage: Eukaryota; Bacillariophyta; Thalassiosirophyceae; Thalassiosirales; Thalassiosiraceae. The record is from RNAcentral.
GUAGCGAAAUUCCUUGUCGGGUAAGUUCCGACCUGCACGAAUGGCGUAACGACUUCCCCACUGUCUCCAACAUCGACUCAGCGAAAUUGAAUUGCCCGUGAAGAUGCGGGCUACCCGCGGUUAGACGGAAAGACCCCGUGCACCUUUACUACAGCUUCACACUGGCAUCAGGCCAAGCAUGUGCAGGAUAGGUGGUAGGCUUCGAAGCAGUGACGCCAGUCGCUGUGGAGCCUUCCUUGAGAUACCACCCUUGCUUUGCUUGAUGUCUAACCGCGGUCCGUUAUCCGGAUCCGGGACCCUGCGUGGCGGGUAGUUUGACUGGGGCGGUCGCCUCCUAAAG